GGUCGAGCAAGGAUGAAAAUCGGACUUAGUGAUCCGGUGGUUCUGCGUGGAAGGGCCAUCGCUCAACGGAUAAAAGCUACCCUGGGGAUAACAGGCUUAUCUCCCCCAAGAGUCCACAUCGACGGGGAGGUUUGGCACCUCGAUGUCGGCUCAUCACGUCCUGGGGCUGUAGUAGGUCCCAAGGGUUGGGCUGUUCGCCCAUUAAAGUGGUACGCGAGCUGGGUUCAGAACGUCGUGAGACAGUUCGGUCCCUAUCCGUCGCAGGCGUAGGAAAUUUGAGAAGACCUGUCCUUAGUACGAGAGGACCGGGAUGGACGUACCUCUGGUGUACCAGUUGUUCUGCCAAGGGCAUGGCUGGGUAGCUAUGUACGGAAUGGAUAAGCGCUGAAAGCAUCUAAGCGCGAAGCCAACUUCAAGAUAAGAUUUCCCACCGCAAGGGUAAGACCCCAGAAAGACUAUCUGGUUGAUAGGUCGAAGGUGUAAGUGCAGCAAUGUAUUUAGCUUAUCGAUACUAAUAGGUCGAGGACUUGACCAAAUU
RNAcentral lists this ribosomal RNA (538 nucleotides) under Clostridioides difficile. Its description in RNAcentral is "partial 23S ribosomal RNA". It matches the Rfam family "Bacterial large subunit ribosomal RNA", at positions 2387 to 2925 of the family's 2925-position model. Lineage: Bacteria; Bacillati; Bacillota; Clostridia; Peptostreptococcales; Peptostreptococcaceae. The record is from RNAcentral.